Hemicordylus capensis (graceful crag lizard) is the source of this 82-nucleotide small nucleolar RNA. RefSeq annotates it as small nucleolar RNA SNORD45. NCBI's taxonomy places the organism in Eukaryota, Metazoa, Chordata, Lepidosauria, Squamata, Cordylidae. The transcript has a single exon. The record is from RefSeq and is a predicted model, not a curated record.
GAUCUGUGAUGAGUCUUUCUCGCAUCUGACUCUAAAUUUGAUGUCUCUCAUCACUUUAGCUCUAGAAUUACUCUGAGAUCUG